UGGUCCAAAAAUACAAUUGGUGUGUGGCGUCUACCACAAAAUUAAUAGCGAUGUAUGAAGCUGAUGAGGCGCUUUACAAUGUGAGGCACCCUGAAUGUAAAAAUAGAUUACGAAGAUUGGAGAGCUACAAAAAUAUUAUUAGCCGUGACAUACGGCAUGGGUGCACGGCUGACGACGUUAAAAAGAAAGUUAAUGGCCUCCGCACAAGUUACUCCUACGAGAAAGCAAAAAUGGAUAAAAGCAAAAGUGGAGCCAGUGCACAGGUGGCGUCCACUCUGCAAGUGUACUGCUUCCACAUGCUAAAGUUCCUCGACCAGGCCACAGAGGCGGACGAGAGUGUCUAAUAUCGAGAGCACAGAAAGUGGAAGUGAACGAGGUACAUCAACAUUCGAAGAAAUGUUUGAGCAUGAAAUGCAGGCUCAACAAGAACCUUCUGUCACAUGCAAUGAGCCACAGCCACAGCAUCAAGAGCGGCCUUCCACAAAAAGAAGGAAAGGCACAACAGAUGUUGCAACAGACGUCAUUGUGGAGGCCAUCAGGACACUGAAGGCUAUGGCUGAUAUGGCCAGGACUCUGCCCCAACCUGUCCAAGAAGACCGCUACAGUGCCCGUGCCAUCCACAUCACAGCUGAACUGCGUGAGAUGGAUAAUGUGAGUGGUAAGGAAUUUACUACGAGCACAAUACAUGCUUUGCAGCGAUAUUUGAUGGACAGAUGAGAUUUGCUGCAUGCGACAACUCAACAAGCACAACCGUCCGCCUCUGGAUAUAUCCAGGUUGCCUUGCCGCAGGCUGGUAUAGAAGUUUUUUUUUAGCUCUCCAGUCUUCUUAAUCUAUUUUUGUACUCAGGAUGCCUCAUGUUGUAAAACACCUAAUCAGCUUCAUACAUCUCUAUUCAUUUUGUAGUUUCGGACACCAA
Schistocerca piceifrons (Central American locust) is the source of this 917-nucleotide long non-coding RNA. RefSeq lists it as uncharacterized. The record is from RefSeq and is a predicted model, not a curated record. Lineage: Eukaryota; Metazoa; Arthropoda; Insecta; Orthoptera; Acrididae. The transcript is spliced from 3 exons.